GAUUAUUUGUUUAACUGUGGCAAAAGGAAGUUUGUGUUUUAUUAGCUGCAUAAAGUUAGUUUAUUUUUAUCUUAUCUCAAUAUUAUUUAUUUUGUUUAGCAGUUAACAUUUUGUUAAAACGAGAGUUUUAGAAGAAUAAGACGUUUAAAGGGGAUAGGGCACAGUGCCAGCAUCUGCGGUUAAUCUGUUUUCUUUGCUUUUAUCUAGAUUUUAUGUGUUUAUUUAUCGUUAAAAGUAGGUUAAAUUUUUUUAUUUAAAUUUUAAAUAUUCAUUUUUUUAUAAAGUUUAUGUUUGUGACAGGGAUUAGAUACCCCAUUAAUGUAUUUUGUAAUAUUGUCUUAGUUUAGUAACUAAAAUGGUUUGGCAGUGAGUGAUUCUUUUUAGGGGAAGGUGUGGUGUAAAGGAUGUUCCGCCUAAUAAUUUACUUUUAUUAUGUUGGUGUAUAUCUGGUUGAAUAUUAUUGUUUAAUGAUAUGUGUAAUUUGUGUAAAGUUAGUUAAGCCAAGUCUAUGUGCUGCUUAUAAAAGUAUUCAUGCGUUACUUUGAUAAAGUUUUAGUUGUAAACACUAUUAUAUAUUUAGGACUUAAUAGUAAUGUCAAAUUAGUUUGUUGAUGUGAAUUAAGUUUAACUCAUGUACACACCGCCCGUCACCCUCGAUUAUUAUUGAGGUAAGUCGUAACAAGGUAACUUUAAAUGAAUUUGAAGUUGGUUACUAGAAUAUUUUUUA
This 727-nucleotide ribosomal RNA is filed under the name Taenia arctos. RNAcentral's name for it is "small subunit ribosomal RNA". Lineage: Eukaryota; Metazoa; Platyhelminthes; Cestoda; Cyclophyllidea; Taeniidae. The record is from RNAcentral.